Molecule: long non-coding RNA, 852 nt
Organism: Chenopodium quinoa (quinoa)
Lineage: Eukaryota; Viridiplantae; Streptophyta; Magnoliopsida; Caryophyllales; Amaranthaceae
Exons: 2
Source: RefSeq, a predicted model, not a curated record
AAUCAACCACAGCUAAAAUUGUCGGUAUUAAUUUUUUCUGCCAAUACUUCGUAAAAUCUAAUUCCAUUAAUCUCGAAUAAUGCAAUCCAUCCUUAUUUUCUUACGACCUUCGUAACAAAUCACCCGCCCGCAACCAACGCCCAAUGGGGCAUAAUUAGUUACCACCGGAAAAUUUCGAAAAGAGACAGGUUGAGAGCGAGCGUUGAACAACCUCUUCACUCAAAAAGCUUGAAACCUACUCUUUUCCCCCCUUUUCGCUAAUUUCAAUCAAUCCCUAAUUUCUCUCUCUUCAAUUACUUUUGGUUGGUGAAUUUGCCAAAAAUUUGCGGAAAUUCAAAUGUGUCCACUUCGAAUUAUUUUGAUUUUUCUUUCUGCUGCUCUUGCCGGAUUUUUCGUCCUCAAGAAUCUCAAUUCUUCCGAUGAUCUCGACCUCAAUCUUCUUCCCGAUUCUCCAAAACCUAAAAAUUCUUCUCCGAUUUCAUACAAGGAUAAGGUAAUGGCGGGGAUUAGUUCGAGUUUUUGGAUAAUUGUGGAUAUGGCGAGCGGUCGGUAUCUCUGGAAGUAUUUCUCUGCUGCUUCAGCUAAGAGCUCGCCCUAAUUCUUCUUAGAUACAAUAUACGAAGUAGCAUGGUAGAUAUUAUUCUUGCUGUCGUUGUUGCUGCUGUUGUUGAUGAUGAUGAUGAUGUUGUUUCUGUUAAUUUGAAGAAGAUGCAUUAUUGGUAACCGUAACUAAGGCUAAGAAUCAUGAUAAUGAUUGUUGGCUUUCACUUCAAUUGAUGUAUUGUUGUAAUAUUCUAUGAAUAAUAUGUACAUACACAUGUUUGUUAAUGAUAUGGUAUUUUUGAUUUUUUA